UCCCAGACUCCUACGGGAGGCAGCAGUGGGGGAUAUUGCACAAUGGGGGGAACCCUGAUGCAGCGACGCCGCGUGGGUGAAGGAGCGUUUCGGCGCGUAAAGCCCUUUCAGCAGGGAAGAAAAUGACGGUACCUGAAGAAGAAGCCCCGGCUAACUACGUGCCAGCAGCCGCGGUAAUACGUAGGGGGCAAGCGUUAUCCGGAUUUACUGGGUGUAAAGGGGGCGCAGACGGCGAUGCAAGCCAGGAGUGAAAGCCCGGGGCCCAACCCCGGGACUGCUCUUGGAACUGCGUGGCUGGAGUGCAGGAGGGGCAGGCGGAAUUCCUGGUGUAGCGGUGAAAUGCGUAGAUAUCAGGAGGAACACCGGUGGCGAAGGCGGCCUGCUGGACUGCAACUGACGUUGAGGCCCGAAAGCGUGGGGAGCAAACAGGAUUAGAUACCCGUGUACU
Molecule: ribosomal RNA, 448 nt
Filed under: uncultured bacterium
Lineage: Bacteria
Description: bacterial SSU rRNA
Rfam family: Bacterial small subunit ribosomal RNA
Source: RNAcentral